AUUGAACGACUGUCGAGAACUGUCGUGUUUAAACCAAUAGGAAAGAAGCUCUUGCGACUGAUGACAAAUAAGAUUCAGCUGCGCGUGCAAGGACCAGAUUACCGGGUAUAAAAGCUCAGCCCAACGGUGACUGGCAGUAGCUUCUUACACAGUGCUCAUAGUAAAGCUAGUGUGAGAGUGUAAUCAAUCUUAAUCCUUCUUUACUCCAACCCAGACAGACGGAGCUUCAAGAAAAAUGGUAAAUAUAUAUUUAAAAAGAAAUUAAUCAUGGAUUUUUUUUAGACCCACUGUAUUUUUAUUAACUUUCUUCGAAUUCUGAAGCUAACAGUACUACAAGGUAACGAUCGUGUGUGGUUUGGACGACAGGCUGAAUUGUCUUUUCUGCAUGUCGUAUUUGUAGCCUCCCUCACAGUUAGCAUACUGCGCAGCUUGUAUUUAUCAGUCCAGUCAUGUUCCUCCGCACUUCCAUCCAUUGAAAAGGUCCGGUGUCUUCCUGUUUUUUCCUCCAGGAGAUGAAUGAAUGAAUGAAGAACAGCAGGGUUUCAUGAGAGCGCAGCUAUAAUUGCAAGUCAUGUAUCUGUCGCGCGUAGCAGUCUGGUAGGCCUACUUAUGUCCAUUACAAUUCUGUGUACAUCUAAAACGUUAACAGUUUAGCUAAGCAAGUGGUACUUUUCUAAUAUGUGCAGCAAGUAUCUAGUGACUCUGUCAUGAUGUUGUGGUGUCUGGCUCUUAACAAUGAACCCCUUUUUCACAGUUACCUUAAGGCCUUUGCUUUCCAGCUGUCUUCAACAUGUGAUGAGCCUCAUUUAGUAUUUUAUUAGGCAUGGUUUGAAUUAUGUAAAGUAUUUUACAACGUGCCUUUUUGUUUUCUUUCUCCAGCGUGAGUGCAUCUCAGUACAUGUUGGUCAGGCCGGUGUCCAGAUCGGUAAUGCCUGCUGGGAGCUUUACUGCCUGGAACAUGGGAUCCAGCCGGAUGGACAGAUGCCCAGUGACAAGACACUGGGAGGAGGAGAUGAUUCCUUCAACACCUUCUUCAGUGAGACUGGAGCUGGAAAGCACGUCCCCAGAGCUGUUUUUGUAGAUCUGGAGCCCACUGUGAUCGGUGAGUGUCAUCAGUUUUGUAAAAAUGUGAAUUUUAGGGAGUUAAGAUCGGAGGAGUGACAAUAAGGAACCGUAAUAACCCUGUUCUCACUUGUGUCUUUAGAUGAAGUGCGCUCUGGGACCUACCGCCAGCUGUUCCACCCAGAGCAGCUGAUCACUGGAAAGGAGGAUGCUGCCAACAACUACGCCCGUGGACACUACACCAUCGGCAAAGAGAUCAUUGAUCUGGUGUUGGACAGGAUCCGCAAACUGGUGGGUAGUAAUAUAAGAAAGAAUAAAUCUCUUGUUUUGACUAAAAUUAAAUUUAAAAAAAAAUUAAGGUUCAUUCUCACUGUCUCUCCCUCUCUGUCCUCAGGCUGAUCAGUGCACUGGCCUUCAGGGCUUCCUGGUCUUCCACAGCUUUGGAGGUGGUACCGGCUCUGGUUUCACCUCCCUGCUGAUGGAGCGUCUGUCUGUCGACUACGGCAAGAAGUCCAAGCUGGAGUUUUCAGUUUACCCAGCUCCCCAGGUGUCCACUGCUGUGGUGGAGCCCUACAACUCCAUCCUGACCACCCACACCACCCUGGAGCACUCUGACUGUGCCUUCAUGGUGGACAACGAGGCCAUCUACGAUAUCUGUCGUAGAAACCUCGAUAUCGAGCGACCAAGUUACACCAACCUGAACAGGUUGAUCAGUCAGAUCGUGUCCUCCAUCACUGCGUCCCUGCGUUUUGAUGGUGCCCUCAAUGUUGAUCUGACAGAGUUCCAGACCAACUUGGUGCCAUAUCCCCGUAUCCACUUCCCUCUGGCCACCUAUGCCCCUGUCAUCUCAGCUGAGAAGGCUUACCAUGAGCAGUUAACAGUGUCAGAAAUCACCAAUUCUUGCUUUGAGCCUGCAAACCAGCUGGUCAAAUGUGACCCUCGCCAUGGCAAGUACAUGGCCUGCUGCCUUUUGUACCGUGGUGAUGUGGUUCCUAAAGACGUAAACGCUGCCAUUGCCACCAUCAAGACCAAGCGCUCCAUCCAGUUUGUGGACUGGUGCCCCACUGGUUUUAAGGUUGGCAUCAACUACCAGCCUCCCACUGUGGUUCCUGGUGGUGACCUGGCCAAGGUCCAGAGGGCUGUGUGCAUGCUAAGCAACACCACUGCUAUUGCAGAGGCCUGGGCCCGUCUGGACCACAAAUUUGACCUGAUGUACGCUAAGCGUGCCUUUGUUCACUGGUACGUGGGUGAGGGUAUGGAAGAGGGUGAGUUCUCAGAGGCCAGAGAGGACAUGGCAGCUCUGGAGAAGGAUUAUGAGGAGGUGGGAGCUGAUAGUCUGGGGGAGGAAGAGGAUGAGGGAGAGGAGUAUUAAACUGCAUGCAUUCCCCUUUAUAUGGCUAAGUGUGCCUUAUCUUAAAAAUAAACUUGUUCUUGAAUGCACAACUGUCUGCUUGUUUCUAUGCACUCAUUUAUUGGCCAGGGUUAUGACUAACAAAUCAGUAUCUUGUUUCACUAAGUUUGAUGGCAUGCUGCUAUGUUAAUUAUUGCCAAACUGUUCAAAUAUUUGUUCUUUUACUUCACCUCACUUGACAGUUUAAUGUUGAACAUUAGUCAUAUUAGGUGUUCAUGGUGUCCAGGAGAAUCUGAAACGCUGUUGAAUCAUAGGUCCCUGCUGAUCCUCUAAACUUGGUCCCUUUUACUUUGAUCAGUCGCAUGUGAAAAUCCCUGCAAAAGAUUAUUAUUUUUUGUUUGUUUAACCUUGUUUUCAGUAUCUCCUGACUCAGCACAUACCUCCAAAUGCCCUCAACAGAAAACAUGUUUUAUAGCCACUACAAACAAUUAAAGCUUUUUUCAAAUCAGAUUUCACUGGUAUCAACAUAACAUAACCAAACCAGAAUGGUGUGAUUUCACAAUAAAUGGGGACCUCUGGUGGUUAAAGGUGGAAGACAAACAGAUGUGGCGCAUAUGACCCAGGGCACAGGGGAAGAAUAGGAUGAAACUUCAAACUACUGAGUAAUACAUAAUACUUGAAAUAUCAGCUGUAACAAGUUAAACAGUGAGGAGAUAUUUUUAAACUGUCAAAUUAAAAUAAGGGCAUCAUUUUUUUGUACUUUCACCAAAACAAGAGGAAUAGAUACUAAACCAGCUAAAGGAUGAGAGAGAGAGUGCUGUUGUACUAAAUCACGUCUUAAUGCAUCUUAGCCAAUCAAAUGACUUCGCCCAAACUGACUGCUAUAAUGGAUAAUACAUAGAUCUAUUAAAUGGUCACUCACAUUCAACUUGUGACCUUUUUGAUCCCUUAUGAACAAUGUUUCAUUGUAGAAAAUAUAGCUUAAACUUGAUCACAUAAGUCACUUUGAUAACUCAAAAUGUAAAGAAGGAUCUAUUUUGGGUACCUUAACACUGGUGAGAUAACAAUCGAACUAUAUACACGAGAUCUAAACAUUUGCCUCUAAUUUGUUUUUAAACGCUAAUAUAAGUGGCAGAAAACGUAAAUACUCAUGGAGGGGAUAAACAACCGCAAAUUUAUGUCAUACUUACUUAUGGAGAUACUGUAGGUGUACUUUAUUUCCAUUUGACCACAGCUUAGUCCACCUUCUACCUCUGUAAGCCAUCUUACAACGCAGACAGAACAUGAAAUAACGCAGAACGAUAGAAAGAGAACUAUCAAGAUGGUUUAUUAUUGAUACAUUAAUGGACAUGGUGUGAAAUGGCGGCUCAGAUAUUCAAAAACUCAUCUAUAGAGCUUCAUUUCCGGUCUGUGACUGACGCAAACCGGCGCGCUCUUACCGUUGCCCCACUUUCUCGCUGAGCUCGUGGCAUGUCAUUGCGAAACACAACGGUUUGAUUUUAACCAAUAAAACUCCGCCCACGUGACUCCCUCAACCAAUCCGGAUCCCGCUUAGCUUUUCCGCCGGUUCAGAGAGUAUAAAUGACCCCGCCUAGUGAAAAUUCGACAGUUACUUCUCACACAGGACUCAUAACGCCCUUUCUGUGAGAGAUAACUUUUUGUCGUCCUCUCCUUUGUUCAAUUUUCCACAGACUUCACACUUUCAACAAACAUGGUGAGUAUGGGAACGGUUUUUUCUUACCUAUAAUGUCACAAAUUAACUAAAAUCAAAUCUCUUAGGUAUGUUAUCACGUGGCGGUUAACCUUUUUGAUUUUAACUUUUAGGCGGUUAACCAGAUCAGGCCUUAAUUUGAGUCAAUGUGUCCGUAUUUUUUUUUGUUAGAUUCAGAUAAAAAUAACAAAGGGAUGAGCUCAAAUUCAAGUUGAGUCUCGGCCUUUUUGUUUUCCGGGUUUUUCUGUCUGUACAAUGACCCACUUAGCAGAGGUCAAUGUGGUCUCAGCCUGAGGUAUUCCUGCUUGUUUGAGAAGACCAAACCUCUCUUAACCCAACCCUUUUUUUGGUUGUAUAGAUAUUUUCAUGUUCUACAUUGUGUGGGCUCAGCUCUUUUCUAUCACAGUCUCAAACCGCAGCUGUGUUGGGUUUGGCCCCACCACAGUAUGUACUUUGAUAGGGUUUAGUUCACUGUCUGAAUAGUCUGAAUAGGCCUCUUGUCUGAUCAUUUCCACCCAAGGGAAUUUUUCUCGCUCCUGAGGGUAAAUAGAUGUUGGAACUUGUCAUCAGGUGACUUUAGUCAUGAAGCUCUGGUAUUUGUCUUGACAAAAGAACCUUUUUUCCUCCUCCUGAAGUCUCACAUUAACACUGUGACCCACCUCGGCAUGUGAUGAGUCGCCUUCAGGGUCUGAUUCAUCACAUUUGAGAUAAGAAAUGUGAAAGCACCUUUUAGCCGAGUGAUUAUUUCAUUACAUUAAAAAUAACAAAAAGCUCGAAAAAUAUUCUGAUUGUUGUUUUUCUGUCUCCACAGCGUGAGUGUAUCUCCAUCCACGUUGGUCAGGCCGGUGUCCAGAUCGGUAAUGCUUGUUGGGAGCUUUACUGCCUGGAACAUGGCAUCCAGCCAGACGGACAGAUGCCCAGUGACAAAACACUGGGAGGAGGAGAUGAUUCCUUCAACACCUUCUUCAGUGAGACUGGAGCUGGAAAGCACGUCCCCAGAGCUGUUUUUGUAGAUCUGGAGCCCACUGUGAUCGGUGAGUGUCAUUAGUUUAGUAAAAAUAUGAAUUUUAGGGAGUAAAGAUCGGAGGAGUGACAAUAAGGAACCGUAAUAACCCUGUUCUCACUUGUGUUUUUAGAUGAAGUGCGCUCUGGGACCUACCGCCAGCUGUUCCACCCAGAGCAGCUGAUCACUGGAAAGGAGGAUGCUGCCAACAACUACGCCCGUGGACACUACACCAUCGGCAAAGAGAUCAUCGACCUGGUGCUGGACAGGAUCCGCAAACUGGUGGGUAGUAAUAUAAGAAAGAAGAAAUUGCUUGUUUCGACUAAAUUGAAUUUAAAAAAAAAUUAAGGUUCAUUCUCACUGUCUCUCCCUCUCUGUCCUCAGGCUGAUCAGUGCACUGGCCUUCAGGGCUUCCUGGUCUUCCACAGCUUUGGAGGUGGUACCGGCUCUGGUUUCACCUCCCUGCUGAUGGAGCGUCUGUCCGUCGACUACGGCAAGAAGUCCAAGCUGGAGUUCUCCAUCUACCCAGCUCCCCAGGUGUCCACUGCUGUGGUGGAGCCCUACAACUCCAUCCUGACCACCCACACCACCCUGGAGCACUCUGACUGUGCCUUCAUGGUAGACAACGAGGCCAUCUACGAUAUCUGCCGUAGAAACCUUGAUAUCGAGCGUCCCACUUACACUAACUUGAACAGGUUGAUCAGUCAGAUCGUGUCCUCCAUCACUGCGUCUCUGCGUUUUGAUGGUGCCCUCAAUGUUGAUCUGACAGAGUUCCAGACCAACUUGGUGCCAUAUCCCCGUAUCCACUUCCCUCUGGCCACCUACGCCCCUGUCAUUUCAGCUGAGAAGGCUUACCAUGAGCAGUUAACAGUGUCUGAAAUCACCAAUGCUUGCUUUGAGCCUGCAAACCAGCUGGUCAAAUGCGACCCUCGCCAUGGCAAGUACAUGGCCUGCUGCCUUUUGUACCGUGGUGAUGUGGUUCCCAAAGAUGUGAAUGCUGCCAUUGCAGCAAUUAAAACUAAGCGCACCAUCCAGUUUGUGGACUGGUGCCCCACUGGUUUUAAGGUGGGCAUCAACUACCAGCCUCCCACUGUGGUACCUGGUGGUGACCUUGCCAAGGUCCAGAGGGCCGUGUGCAUGCUGAGCAACACCACUGCUAUUGCAGAGGCCUGGGCCCGUCUGGACCACAAGUUUGACCUGAUGUAUGCUAAGCGUGCCUUUGUUCACUGGUACGUGGGUGAGGGUAUGGAGGAGGGUGAGUUCUCCGAGGCCAGAGAGGACAUGGCAGCUCUGGAGAAGGAUUAUGAGGAGGUGGGAGCUGAUAGUCUGGGGGAUGACGAUGAAGGAGAGGAGUAUUAAGUUGUUUGCAUCCUCUGAUCUGUGAUCUUUGCUUUUUUUUCAUACCAAAAUAAAGUGAGUUCAUCGACUUAUUCUUUUGUGUUUUU
This 6572-nucleotide long non-coding RNA is filed under the name Xyrichtys novacula (pearly razorfish). Lineage: Eukaryota; Metazoa; Chordata; Actinopteri; Labriformes; Labridae. The record is from RNAcentral.